This 253-nucleotide ribosomal RNA is filed under the name uncultured bacterium. Its description in RNAcentral is "partial 16S ribosomal RNA". It matches the Rfam family "Bacterial small subunit ribosomal RNA", at positions 524 to 776 of the family's 1533-position model. The record is from RNAcentral.
UACGAAGGGGGCUAGCGUUGCUCGGAAUCACUGGGCGUAAAGGGUGCGUAGGCGGGUCUUUAAGUCAGGGGUGAAAUCCUGGAGCUCAACUCCAGAACUGCCUUUGAUACUGAGGAUCUUGAGUUCGGGAGAGGUGAGUGGAACUGCGAGUGUAGAGGUGAAAUUCGUAGAUAUUCGCAAGAACACCAGUGGCGAAGGCGGCUCACUGGCCCGAUACUGACGCUGAGGCACGAAGGCCAGGGGAGCAAACGGA